Molecule: ribosomal RNA, 1158 nt
Filed under: Triticum aestivum (bread wheat)
Lineage: Eukaryota; Viridiplantae; Streptophyta; Magnoliopsida; Poales; Poaceae
Description: partial small subunit ribosomal RNA
Source: RNAcentral
AUGGCCAUGCUCGUGCUCGCGCUACUCCCCCUGUUCGCCACGUCCGCGUCCGCGGCGGGCGGCUGCGCGGCCGAGGCGUCAUUGUCGUCGCCCAACGGAAACGCCUACGCGGCCUGCAGCGACCUGCCCCGCCUCGGCGCGACGGUGCACUGGACCUACGACCGCGCCGCGGGGUCCCUCUCCGUCGCGUUCGUCGCCGCGCCGGCCGCCCCGGGCGGGUGGGUGGCGUGGGGGCUCAACCCGUUCGGCGAAGGCAUGGCCGGGGCGCAGGCGCUGCUCGCCGCGCCUUCUUCCUCGUCCGGCGCGUGGGCCGUCCGGACGUACAACAUCUCCGGGUACGCGCUAGGCGCGCCCGGGCCCAUCGCGUUCCCGGCGACCGGCCUCGCCGCGGAGCUCGGCGCCGACGGCCGCGUCAGGGUCUCGGGGACGCUGAGCGUGGGCCAGGGCGCGUCCGUCCUGAACCAGGUCUGGCAGGUCGGGCCCACGGUGUCCGGGGACGGCAUUCCCGCGCCGCACGCCAUGGGCGGCGACAACCUGGCCGCCAAGGCGAAGCUGGAUCUUGUCAGGCAGACCAGCACCUCCUCCGACUCCGGCGGCAGCGACCUCGCCAGGGAGCGCAAUAUCCAUGGCAUCCUCAACGCCGUGAGCUGGGGCCUGCUGCUGCCCAUGGGAGCCAUCUUCGCGAGGUACCUCAAGACGUUCAGGUCGGCGGACCCCGCGUGGUUCUACCUCCACGUCACCUGCCAGAUCAUCGGCUACGGCGUCGGGGUCGCCGGCUGGGCCACCGGCAUCAACCUCGGCAACGCGUCCAACGGCGUCACCUACGGUCUCCACCGCAGCAUCGGCAUCGCCGUCUUCGCCCUCGCCACCCUACAAGUAUUUGCGCUGUUCCUGAGGCCGAGGAAGGAUCACAAGUGCCGCUUGUACUGGAACGCGUACCACCACGCGGUGGGCUACGCCGUCAUCAUCCUCGGCAUCAUGAACAUCUUCAAGGGGAUGGCCAUCCUGGGCGUGGAGCAGCGGUGGAGGACCGCCUACGUCGCGGCCGUCUGGGUGCUCGGCGCGGUGGCGGUGACGCUGGAGGCGGUCACGUGGAGCGUGGUCAUCAGGCGCCGCGAGGCCGAGCAGCACGGCAAGACCUUGCACGGCGCUGCCUAA